GAUGAACGCUGGCGGCGUGCCUAAUACAUGCAAGUCGAGCGAACAGACGAGGAGCUUGCUCCUCUGACGUUAGCGGCGGACGGGUGAGUAACACGUGGAUAACCUACCUAUAAGACUGGGAUAACUUCGGGAAACCGGAGCUAAUAGCGGAUAAUAUAUUGAACCGCAUGGUUCAAUAGUGAAAGACGGUUUUGCUGUCACUUAUAGAUGGAUCCGCGCCGCAUUAGCUAGUUGGUAAGGUAACGGCUUACCAAGGCAACGAUGCGUAGCCGACCUGAGAGGGUGAUCGGCCACACUGGAACUGAGACACGGCCCAGACUCCUACGGGAGGCAGCAGUAGGGAAUCUUCCGCAAUGGGCGAAAGCCUGACGGAGCAACGCCGCGUGAGUGAUGAAGGUCUUCGGAUCGUAAAACUCUGUUAUCAGGGAAGAACAAAUGUGUAAGUAACUAUGCACGUCUUGACGGUACCUAAUCAGAAAGCCACGGCUAACUACGUG
Molecule: ribosomal RNA, 497 nt
Filed under: uncultured bacterium
Lineage: Bacteria
Description: partial 16S ribosomal RNA
Rfam family: Bacterial small subunit ribosomal RNA
Source: RNAcentral